UUAUCGGAGAGUUUGAUCCUGGCUCAGGACGAACGCUGGCGGCGUGCCUAAUACAUGCAAGUCGAGCGGACAGAUGGGAGCUUGCUCCCUGAUGUUAGCGGCGGACGGGUGAGUAACA
This 118-nucleotide ribosomal RNA is filed under the name Bacillus subtilis. RNAcentral describes it as "partial 16S ribosomal RNA". It matches the Rfam family "Bacterial small subunit ribosomal RNA", at positions 1 to 115 of the family's 1533-position model. RNAcentral also lists the same sequence under 7 other names. Lineage: Bacteria; Bacillati; Bacillota; Bacilli; Caryophanales; Bacillaceae. The record is from RNAcentral.